Molecule: ribosomal RNA, 253 nt
Filed under: uncultured bacterium
Lineage: Bacteria
Description: partial 16S ribosomal RNA
Rfam family: Bacterial small subunit ribosomal RNA
Source: RNAcentral
UACGAAGGGGGCUAGCGUUGCUCGGAAUCACUGGGCGUAAAGCGCACGUAGGCGGAUGUGUCAGUCAGGGGUGAAAUCCCGGGGCUCAACCUCGGAACUGUCUUUGAUACAGCACGUCUCGAGUCCGGAAGAGGUGGGUGGAAUUCCUAGUGUAGAGGUGAAAUUCGUAGAUAUUAGGAAGAACACCGGUGGCGAAGGCGGCCCACUGGUCCGGUACUGACGCUGAGGUGCGAAAGCGUGGGGAGCAAACAGG